UGGGGAAUCUUGCACAAUGGGGGAAACCCUGAUGCAGCGACGCCGCGUGAACGAUGAAGCCCUUCGGGGUGUAAAGUUCUUUCGGCAGGGACGAUAAUGACGGUACCUGCAGAAGCAGCUGCGGCUAACUACGUGCCAGCAGCCGCGGUAAUACGUAGGCAGCAAGCGUUGUUCGGAAUUACUGGGCGUAAAGAGUGCGUAGGCGGUUGGCUAAGUUUGGUGUGAAAUCUCCCGGCUCAACUGGGAGGGUGCGUCGAAAACUGGCUGGCUAGAGUGCGGGAGAGGAUAGUGGAAUUCCUGGUGUAGCGGUGAAAUGCGUAGAUAUCAGGAGGAACACCUGAGGUGUAGACGGCUAUCUGGACCGUAACUGACGCUGAGGCACGAAAGCGUGGGGAGC
This 397-nucleotide ribosomal RNA is filed under the name uncultured bacterium. RNAcentral's name for it is "bacterial SSU rRNA". It matches the Rfam family "Bacterial small subunit ribosomal RNA", at positions 355 to 769 of the family's 1533-position model. The record is from RNAcentral.